UGAACUUAAAAAGUGAAAUGAGAGAAUAGAUGAUACUGGAAAUUAUCAAACUACUAUGGAAAGACACGACACUAAAAAGGAUCCAUGUCCAUUCAAUAGGAAGAAGAGGCCAGCAGCUGUCCUUAACUCUCCGUGGUAUUGGAGAAACAUCAGCAAGUGGUGGGCAAACACCCUCCGAGGGAAGACAGGCGACCCAAGGGCUGCGGUUGAGGCCGUCUCCCCCAGACCAGCUUUCAUUCACUCCCCACCCAAUGCCUGGCUGAGCACCAUAGUGACAUUCACUUCUGAAUGUGACAAUCUUGUCAGAACACUAGAUUGACACAUGGGUGUCAGGAGCACUCCAGGAAACAAUCUCCACAAUGAGAUAACAGUCCAUACCUUGUCUACACAGCAAGCGACAGAAUUUAGGAUAAAAUACCCUGACGAAAGCAACAUAAAGGAGAAAGAUUCACUGUGACUCACGGUUCCAGAACCUUCAUUCAGUCAUGGAUGGAUGGAAGCAGAUGCAGAGAUCCACGGCUAAGCACUGGGCCAAACUCCUGGAGUUCAGUCAUAGAGAGGGAGGAGCGAUAUGAACAAAGCAGCCAAGACCAUGGUGGUGACCACAGAAACAGCUGACUCAAGCUAGGAGGAGCUCACCGACUCCAGGCUGACAGCUGGGGAGCCAGCACAAGGCAGAACUAGGUCCUCUGAAUGAGGGUGACAGUGGUUCUUUGUGAACAGUGUGAUGAUGGCGUCGUCAGCAGAGCCAGCCAUAGCUUACUCUUCAUUUUGGACAUGACUAUCAUUUGGUGAAGAAAAAGAUUAUAAUGCCCAAAUCGUCAGAUCCAACGUACAUGGACUUCUUUGGGAUUGAAGAAAAUAGGACUCUCAGGAUGUCAUUUUAAAUGGCAAAGAACACCAAAUUUCUACCAGAAAAUGUGAAAACACUAGAAAAGAGCUAGCAAGCCAUUCAGACUACUUCUUAAAUGAUAAUUGUGGAUGUUCGAGUCACAUGCACGUUUUAACUAGCAUAUUUUGUUAUUUUAUGAAAUUGAUAUUUAUAGUGGCUCAAAACAAACAGAGCUGGGCUCAGUGAGACUGCUCUGACAGGUGCAGUGGAGCAAAUUCAACUCACCCAUCAUAGUUAAGGCUGAAAACAUUCGGCGGAGGGAGUUUGGGUAUUGCAAAUUUUAUGGUCCCUUCAUGUAUGAUGGUUUUGCCCUUGAAACUUAUGACAGCACAGAUCUAGUAAUCUCAGCUUAAUAAGGCCACAGUGUUCAUUUGUGUAAAAUAAAGCCAGAGCCCUGGAUCCUGGGAAUUAUCGCACGGUACGAAGCUGAGGAUUAAUACUUGUAGUUACAGAAUGUGUUUGAUAAUUUAGUUAUUCUCAUAGAGUCAGCAAGAGCCCAGCAUUGGAACUGCUUUCUUCUUCCCAGUGUGCCUUUACUCAGGAAAGAAUCGACAGACCCAUCCUAGGCCCAAGGAAAAGGAAAUAAACAAAAGCACUAGGAACCUUCUGGUGUGAGACUCCUGGGCUGGUGGAGUCUGUGACUCUAAGAGAGAAAUGGUGGUUGUUGAGACCUGUCUCUUUCUCUGGGAAGCUGUGGUAUACAACCCACUAAGAUGGCAACUGAACUGUGUAUGCUAGGAUCUCAGGAGAGGACUGGGCUAAAGGAAAAGCCUGUGGGAGGAAGUGGGAUGAGGGCAACAUUUUCCUAGUACCUCCACCCCACCUCGCCUUCAGACCUAUCUGCAAGGGCCUUCUCCCUAUGGGAGCUAGCAGAAAUUAGACUCAUAUCCGACUGGUCAGCAAGUGUCUGCAGUCACAUGCCUGCCAUGGGGCACUGAACAGCAAGGGCUGUCCACCAGAAAACUACAAGUAACAGUCCAGGAGGAAAAAAGAGGGCCAUUCUUCUGAUGCUGUUGUCCCUGAAGGACGUUUUGGGGAAUUCCUAAUGACAGACCCACUUUAGUAGGGAGCACCUCUCUCUGAGAAGUUACCUGCAGGUUCCUGCAACUGUUGUCACCAUAAAAACAUGGAAGAGAAGCAGCUAUUCCCACUUCUGUCCUUUGGGAGAGAGGGUAUUUGAUGACGCUCUUAUGAUAUCAUUGCUUAGAAACACAGAAUCCAAAUGGCCGAGUGAAACACUAAAGUCCUCCAUUGUGCAAUAGCACGCACAGUGGAUGCCUCACCGCUUACCCGUGGCACAGCCCAUCUAACAUUGAGGUGGGGAGAAACCUCUGCUUUUCCUACGACAUUGUGAGCCUUUGAUCCCAUCCCAGUGCUAUUACAGUUUCUUCACCCACUCCUCUAGAGAACCACGGGCUGAGGAAGCCACAGAGCCUGUCUCUGAACAACUUCCGUAUGUUGUUCCAAGGAUCAGACUGUGUCCAUUAACACUGAGCUAAUGAGGCUUGAGAACUUUCUGUGUGAGUGAAGAACUGAGGGAGUGGGCUUCACAGGCGCUGAGCUGCAGGCAGCACUCAUGACUGGAAGACUGCCCAGGCUUCUGAGGCUUAAACCCUGGGCCCAGCAUCUGUGUGCAUGCAUAGUCAGCACGGGAUUUGACCUAAGUGGAAAACAGUCUUAAGUUGCUUAACUUUUAUUCUUUAACUAAGCUUCAUUGCUGUUUCAUGCUUUGUUUAUUUACUUAUUUAUUUAUUUAUGCAUAUGUGUGGGCGUGGUCCCCUGUGUGUUCCUGUGUGGAAGCCAGAAGUACACACUGGGUGUUUUCCUCCGUCACUGGCCACACCUCAUCUUUUGAGAUAGUCAUUGACUUUGAGCUCAUCGCUUCCAUGAGGCUGGCUGUCGGCGAAGUUCAGAAUCCACUGUUCUUCAGCCUCUCAGUGCUGGGCUUACAGGGGGGAGCUGCCACACUAGUGCUUACAUGCGUGCUCCAGCCCAACCCAGGCCUCUGCUUGGGCCCCAGGCACUUGUCCACUGAACUAUCUCUCUGAGAUGCAGUACUGGCUGGUUUGGGGCUGUAUCAUUUGUAGAUAAAAAUCAGUCAGUGAUCUUCCACAUCAAAGUAAGGAUAAGUGGAGUUUCCAACUUCCCCUGGUCCUGGAGGGCGGAGCAUGUGUUGUGUGACGCUAGAAAGGCCUUUCCACUGCUCCAUUUCUUCCCACCCGAGCCACAUAGCUAAGCGUUCACUUUCUAUAUCUCAUCACUCUCCCGUGUGCUAAAUGUUCAGGGACAUUGGUUCUCUGCUGUAGGAAGGCUUGCAGCUUGUGGUUACCCGCCUCCUGGGUAACCUUAUACUAUAUACUGGGCCUCUUAUACUAUCUAUGCACGGAUGCAGAUAGUCCCUUCUUCCUUUGCCCCAGCUGCUUUGGAUUGUUGGAUUGCUGGAUUCCAUCUCUGUCCACAAUUCAAGCAGAGAAUUCUAAUUUGUGAGUUUGUGAGUUUACCCCUAAAUAACUAUCUAUUUCUCAGUUCUGAGCUAGUGUGGGAUUUCUUUUAAGCGUCUGUUCAUCAGUUCUCAAUCUGUGGAUUGGUCCCUUUGUAGGUUGAAUGAACCUUUCACCAGGGUUGCCUAAGGCCAUCAGAAAACACAGAUAUUUCCCUUACAACUUGCAACAGUAGCAAAAUUACAGUUAUAAAGUAACAAUGAAAAUAAUUUUUGAUUAUGGGGGAGUCACUACAACAUAAAGAGUUGUAUUAAAGGGUCACAACACUAUUGAGAACCACUGUUCUAGGGUGUGUAGUACCCACACAUUAGGAAAGGGGACAUGGAAGAGUAGGGCACCAAAAUACUGACACAUCACGCUCUAGUCCACUGGCUGCCCAACCACAAAGCUCAGCUUACCUCACUUACUUCUGAAUAA
Long non-coding RNA from Alexandromys fortis (reed vole), 3810 nucleotides. RefSeq lists it as uncharacterized. NCBI's taxonomy places the organism in Eukaryota, Metazoa, Chordata, Mammalia, Rodentia, Cricetidae. The transcript has 5 exons. The record is from RefSeq and is a predicted model, not a curated record.